Long non-coding RNA from Salmo salar (Atlantic salmon), 1078 nucleotides. RefSeq lists it as uncharacterized. The record is from RefSeq and is a predicted model, not a curated record. NCBI's taxonomy places the organism in Eukaryota, Metazoa, Chordata, Actinopteri, Salmoniformes, Salmonidae.
GCUUUUUUUGGCACUCUUACCUUAACUAUUCGUAGUUAAUGCUUAACCUUAAGAUUUUGGAGAUAAUGUAUAAAUUUAACCCUGACCUCAAAAAGUUAAUGCCUAAACUUCACCUUAAAUACUUAGACAUUUGACAUUUGUAACAAUUUCGAAGUUUGACAGAAAUGGAUGAACGUCUAAUUCUGACUCGAGACUACGAGCUAAUUGACAAGUGCGUACUGGGCCAAGCAUGCCCUGAGCUCCUGAAGUGAAGUGAGCUCUACUGGAGCGAAAUUGGAGAGGGCGAGAAUGCCGGCGCUGCAGCCUUUGGGAAACUCGCUCUGCGCUCCAGUCAAAUUGGGCACGCUUCUCGCUCCGCUCACAUACUCUGGUCGGAAGACCAUGUUGACUUUGUAGAAACACAAGUCAUGGAAACGUUGAGAAAGAUAUCACUGCACAUGGAUACGCGAUACUACACUGGAUUUUGGCGGCACAGCAGUAGUUAAGUUUAUUCCGGGUCGAUACUGAAUAAUAUAUAUAGUCUCUGGGGCCUCGCAGAUCAUCUGAAAAUGAUGAGCAUUUUUUCCCAAACACACAUCCAUACGGUGUGCCACAAGUGCAUAAAGCUAAAGGUGGAUAGAUGGACAAAGUUGGAUCCACAAAGGUUUUGCAGACCAUGAAGGAACCAUGAAGAUAUUCACAUCCAAGAAAAGUCAUUUUAUACCUUUUAUCUGAUAAGAAUGGAACUCUCCUGAUGUUCUAUUGCAUACUCAUUAUUAGGCAUGUUAUUCUUAUACACCCUCUUUUUCUGUUCUAAAAAGCUGUUACACUUUUAAAGCUAAACAUAUGUGUUUAAGGCUGACACAAUGAACACUAAGUUCAUUGUCUCUCUUAUUUGUUUUGCUACAUAAGCCCUUCCAUUACUCAUAAAACACCACUGCUACAUUACUAGCUACUCUCUAGUCAGAAAACUGUUUUAACAGAAAAUCUGGUUUAACAAAAACAUUAGGACAUUUACAUGAGACCAAUAUUUGAUUGUUGUACUUUACACCAUUUGUUCACAAAGUCUGCUUGUGACAAUAAAAAUAUUAGCAAUGGA